Small nuclear RNA from Lycium ferocissimum, 107 nucleotides. NCBI's taxonomy places the organism in Eukaryota, Viridiplantae, Streptophyta, Magnoliopsida, Solanales, Solanaceae. The record is from RefSeq and is a predicted model, not a curated record.
UAUUGCUUUCCCUCAGAAAUUCGAUAAAAUUUCAAUGACACAGAAAAGAUUAACAUGGUUCCAAUGCAAGGAUAACACGCACAAAUCAACAAACAGUCCAAUUAUUU